RNAcentral lists this ribosomal RNA (442 nucleotides) under uncultured bacterium. RNAcentral describes it as "partial 16S ribosomal RNA". It matches the Rfam family "Bacterial small subunit ribosomal RNA", at positions 338 to 795 of the family's 1533-position model. The record is from RNAcentral.
CCUACGGGAGACACCAGUGGGGCAUAUUGGGCAAUGGGCGCAAGCCUGACCCAGCAACGCCGCGUGAAGGAAGAAGGCUUUCGGGUUGUAAACUUCUUUUAAGAGGGAAGAGCAGAAGACGGUACCUCUUGAAUAAGCCACGGCUAACUACGUGCCAGCAGCCGCGGUAAUACGUAGGUGGCAAGCGUUGUCCGGAUUUACUGGGUGUAAAGGGCGUGUAGCCGGGCUGACAAGUCAGAUGUGAAAUUCCGGGGCUCAACCCCGGACCUGCAUUUGAAACUGUUGGUCUUGAGUAUCGGAGAGGCAGGCGGAAUUCCUAGUGUAGCGGUGAAAUGCGUAGAUAGUAGGAGGAACACCAGUGGCGAAGGGGGCCUGCUGGACUGCAACUGGCGUUGAGGCCCGAAAGCGUGGGGAGCAAACAGGAUUAGAUACCCGGGUAGUC